GGGGAUUUAGCUCAGUGGUAGAGCGCUUGCCUUGCAAGCACAAGGCCCUGGGUUCAGUCCUCA
Molecule: transfer RNA, 63 nt
Filed under: Rattus norvegicus (Norway rat)
Lineage: Eukaryota; Metazoa; Chordata; Mammalia; Rodentia; Muridae
Rfam family: tRNA
About the family: Transfer RNA (tRNA) molecules are approximately 80 nucleotides in length. Their secondary structure includes four short double-helical elements and three loops (D, anti-codon, and T loops). Further hydrogen bonds mediate the characteristic L-shaped molecular structure. tRNAs have two regions of fundamental functional importance: the anti-codon, which is responsible for specific mRNA codon recognition, and the 3' end, to which the tRNAs corresponding amino acid is attached (by aminoacyl-tRNA synthetases). tRNAs cope with the degeneracy of the genetic code in two manners: having more than one tRNA (with a specific anti-codon) for a particular amino acid; and 'wobble' base-pairing, i.e. permitting non-standard base-pairing at the 3rd anti-codon position.
Source: Rfam by way of RNAcentral